GCUUCCGUAGUUCAAUGGAUAGAACGCGGCCCUCCGGAGGCUGUAAUGGGAGUUCGACUCUCCCCGGGAGCGCAA
This 75-nucleotide transfer RNA is filed under the name Candidatus Gottesmanbacteria bacterium RBG_16_52_11. RNAcentral describes it as "tRNA-Arg". It matches the Rfam family "tRNA". Rfam says of the family: Transfer RNA (tRNA) molecules are approximately 80 nucleotides in length. Their secondary structure includes four short double-helical elements and three loops (D, anti-codon, and T loops). Lineage: Bacteria; Candidatus Gottesmaniibacteriota. The record is from RNAcentral.